This 420-nucleotide long non-coding RNA is filed under the name Ananas comosus (pineapple). RNAcentral's name for it is "long non-coding RNA (ACOM_LNC034603)". The record is from RNAcentral. Lineage: Eukaryota; Viridiplantae; Streptophyta; Magnoliopsida; Poales; Bromeliaceae.
UUUUUUUUUAAUGUAUAUAAUAUAUAUAAUAUAUAUAUAUAAAUAUUAUUUAUAUAUGUAUAUAUAUUUUUAAAAUAAUAUUUUAUUUAUAAAUAUAUUUAUUAUAUAAUAUUUUAUAUUCAGUAAUUUAUUUAUAUAGUAUAAAAUACAUAAUAUUAUUAUAUAUUAUAUUAUAUAUUUAAUUAUUGCAUAAUAUAUUUUAAAUAUAUUUUAUUUAUAAAUAUAAAUUAUAAUACUAAUAUAUAUAAUAUGAUAAUAAUUAUAUAUUAAUAAUAUAAAAAAUGUAAAAUAAAAAAAAUAUAUAAUAUUUUUUUUUUUUUCCUACAAAUCAAAUAUAAACAACGUAAAAUAUUUUUUAAAUUAAAUUUUUUUUUUCAUAGUUUUACAACCAAACACACCUAAAGUUAUGCCACAUUUCUU